CGCACAUUGCGCCCCUUGGUAUUCCAUUGGGCAUGCCUGUUCGAGCGUCAUUUAACCCCUCAAGCACUGCUUGGUGUUGGGCGUUUUGUCUACGGACUCGCCCCAAAUCUAUUGGCAGCAGCCUUACCAGCUUCUUGCGCAGUACAAUGCGCUCCGAGAAGCCUGUGUAGUGGUGUGCAAUCCAGUAAGCAACUCUUUAUUUUGACCUCGAAUCAGGUAGGGAUACCCGCUGAACUUAA
This 239-nucleotide unclassified non-coding RNA is filed under the name Dictyosporiaceae sp. Its description in RNAcentral is "partial contains 5.8S ribosomal RNA, internal transcribed spacer 2, and large subunit ribosomal RNA". Lineage: Eukaryota; Fungi; Ascomycota; Dothideomycetes; Pleosporales; Dictyosporiaceae. The record is from RNAcentral.